UACGUUGGGGGCGAGCGUUGUUCGGAUUUACUGGGCGUAAAGGGCGCGCAGGCGGCGAUCUUUGUCAGGCGUGAAAGCCCCGGGCUCAACCUGGGAACGGCGCUUGGGACGGGAUGACUAGAGAUCGGGAGCGGAGAGUGGAAUUCCCAGUGUAGAGGUGAAAUUCGUAGAUAUUGGGAAGAACACCAGUGGCGAAGGCGGCUCACUGGCCCGAUACUGACGCUGAUGCACGAAAGCGUGGGGAGCAAACAGG
This 253-nucleotide ribosomal RNA is filed under the name uncultured bacterium. Its description in RNAcentral is "partial 16S ribosomal RNA". It matches the Rfam family "Bacterial small subunit ribosomal RNA", at positions 524 to 776 of the family's 1533-position model. The record is from RNAcentral.